Molecule: ribosomal RNA, 748 nt
Filed under: uncultured bacterium
Lineage: Bacteria
Description: bacterial SSU rRNA
Rfam family: Bacterial small subunit ribosomal RNA
Source: RNAcentral
ACGCUGGCGGCAGGCCUAACACAUGCAAGUCGAGCGGCAGCACGGGUACUUGUACCUGGUGGCGAGCGGCGGACGGGUGAGUAAUGCCUAGGAAUCUGCCUGGUAGUGGGGGAUAACGCUCGGAAACGGACGCUAAUACCGCAUACGUCCUACGGGAGAAAGCAGGGGACCUUCGGGCCUUGCGCUAUCAGAUGAGCCUAGGUCGGAUUAGCUAGUUGGUGAGGUAAUGGCUCACCAAGGCGACGAUCCGUAACUGGUCUGAGAGGAUGAUCAGUCACACUGGAACUGAGACACGGUCCAGACUCCUACGGGAGGCAGCAGUGGGGAAUAUUGGACAAUGGGCGAAAGCCUGAUCCAGCCAUGCCGCGUGUGUGAAGAAGGUCUUCGGAUUGUAAAGCACUUUAAGUUGGGAGGAAGGGCAGUUACCUAAUACGUAUCUGUUUUGACGUUACCGACAGAAUAAGCACCGGCUAACUCUGUGCCAGCAGCCGCGGUAAUACAGAGGGGUGCAAGCGUUAAUCGGAAUUACUGGGCGUAAAGCGCGCGUAGGUGGUUUGUUAAGUUGGAUGUGAAGUCCCCGGGCUCAACCUGGGAACUGCAUUCAAAACUGACAAGCUAGAGUAUGGUAGAGGGUGGUGGAAUUUCCUGUGUAGCGGUGAAAUGCGUAGAUAUAGGAAGGAACACCAGUGGCGAAGGCGACCACCUGGACUGAUACUGACACUGAGGUGCGAAAGCGUGGGGAGCAAAC